CCUGUUGUUGAGGAAGAUAAUGACGGUACUCAACAAGGAAGUGACGGCUAACUACGUGCCAGCAGCCGCGGUAAAACGUAGGUCACAAGCGUUGUCCGGAAUUACUGGGUGUAAAGGGAGCGCAGGCGGGARRACAAGUUGGAAGUGAAAUCCAUGGGCUCAACCCAUGAACUGCUUUCAAAACUGUUUUUCUUGAGUAGUGCAGAGGUAGGCGGAAUUCCCGGUGUAGCGGUGGAAUGCGUAGAUAUCGGGAGGAACACCAGUGGCGAAGGCGGCCUACUGGGCACCAACUGACGCUGAGGCUCGAAAGUGUGGGUAGCAAACAGGAUUAGAUACCCUGGUAGUCCACACCGUAAACGAUGAUUACUAGGUGUUGGAGGAUUGACCCYUUCAGUGCCGCAGUUAACACAAUAAGUAAUCCACCUGGGGAGUACGACCGCAAGGUUGAAACUCAAAGGAAUUGACGGGGGCCCGCACAAGCAGUGGAGUAUGUGGUUUAAUUCGACGCAACGCGAAGAACCUUACCAAGUCUUGACAUCCCUUGACGAUGCUGGAAACAGUAUUUCUCUUCGGAGCAMGGAGACAGGUGGUGCAUGGUUGUCGUCAGCUCGUGUCGUGAGAUGUUGGGUUAAGUCCCGCAACGAGCGCAACUCUUAUGGUCAGUUACUACGUGAUAGCCUCCUGGCCAGACUGCCGUUG
This 699-nucleotide ribosomal RNA is filed under the name Faecalibacterium prausnitzii. RNAcentral describes it as "bacterial SSU rRNA". It matches the Rfam family "Bacterial small subunit ribosomal RNA", at positions 432 to 1157 of the family's 1533-position model. The record is from RNAcentral. Lineage: Bacteria; Bacillati; Bacillota; Clostridia; Eubacteriales; Oscillospiraceae.